UCAGUUUUUGUAAAAGGCGGUGAGCAUAACAAUACGUGUUUGGUAAAAACAGUUAUUUGUUGCUAUGUUGAAUCAGAAAUUAGAAAGAAUUUAAAAAGAAAAAAAAACAACAACCAAAAACAAACAAGCACACACACUCACACACACACACACUCACACACAUCCCGGGGGGGAGAAACACACACACAAAACCCUUGCCUCUGCAUGAUGCCAUAGACAAGAGUCCAAAGGACAUUAGCUGCUCCGUUGCACACAUUGGAGAGAGAGUUCGCUGUGGGCUCUGUCUCUCUAAUAGACUGGCGAUUUGGUAAAAGGUUUUAGAGGGUUUUGUUUAACCAUUUCUGCAUGUGUUUUUAAUGAGCUCAUGAUGCUUCGUAACAAAGGCCAGGUUGUGAGGUUUGCAGCCUUUUUUCGGACCUGAUCCCUUCCCGCUGACCUGCAGAGUGAGCACCUGUGCUCCUUGCCUGGCUCACCUAUGGGAGUCAAGGUGGUGGGGCCAUCUCCGGGCCUGUCUUCAUGCCAGGGAUGAAUCAUGCGGUAGGCAGGGCGGAAGGAGUCUCUUUGUUGACAGCUCUCCAUCUGGACUUUGGAUACGGCCGGCCGUUCAUGGAGAGCCUGGGUGAGCUGGAAAGGGCUGCUCGAAUCAGCCCCUCCAUGAAGGCCCCGGGGCAGUAAAACACCUGCAAAGGAACUGCCUGGCAUUUCAGUUGCAAAAGCAGAGGAGCGUCCCCCACAACCCCAGUUCCAGCCUUCCAACUUGAGUCUAGCCCAAAGCCUGCCCUCUAAUACAUAUCAUACUUGAUAUUAAAGUGAGAAGAGGGUGAUUUGUGGGAGCUGCGUGAGAACCGUGUUCCCCUCAGGGCCAGCCUAUGUGGAGUCGACCCCUCUGUUCAGGUAACAACUGACGUGAAAACCAGUCGCAGGGAGAAUGGCCGGGAAGGAGAGAGCCUUACCACGCGCUUCCAACAGCAGCUCUGAACCCGCAUGUCCUGCGCAUGCCUACUGUUCAAAAGGAGAUGGAGCUGAGGGCAGGGUGCCUAUCUCUUCGUGUGCCUGUGACUCUCGGAGGAGCCAUGGUAUCCUUUAAACGUAUCCCCAGGGCUCCUGGAAACCUCCUGCAGCUCUAAGGUUUCGCGGCGGGACUGCAGCAAUAUAAGGCUUGCGUGUGCUAAGAGGAUGUGAGGACUUCUGAACCGCAGCUCUGGCCCCCAAGUGCCCUGCAGCUUUCUCUGGAGGGGCGCCCUUGAUUUCUGAAGCAUCCACAGCCUUGCCUCAGGCAGGACUGACCAGGAGCUGAAAAGAGAAGGCUUGGAAGGUCUCUGGAAAGGUCUUGCUUCUAAAAACCAGAAACCUGGAGGGAGGAAGUUGACAAGAAAUCUGCCCUCUUGUUCUUUGCUGACUAAACCAUGUUGUCUUGUACUAG
Microtus oregoni (creeping vole) is the source of this 1423-nucleotide long non-coding RNA. RefSeq lists it as uncharacterized. The transcript has 3 exons. The record is from RefSeq and is a predicted model, not a curated record. NCBI's taxonomy places the organism in Eukaryota, Metazoa, Chordata, Mammalia, Rodentia, Cricetidae.